This 1177-nucleotide long non-coding RNA is filed under the name Felis catus (domestic cat). Its description in RNAcentral is "lncRNA (ENSFCAG00000050833.1)". Lineage: Eukaryota; Metazoa; Chordata; Mammalia; Carnivora; Felidae. The record is from RNAcentral.
AUGACCCUUGAAGGGGACAAGAAUUCUUGCUUCCUGAUGCUGGCGACGGUCUCACCAAUUCCUCUGACAUUACUAACCCAGAAGUCUAAGCAGAUGAGUAAUCAAACUCAUCGACUCCUCCCAGUGCCCACGUCAUUCUGCCACUUGGAGCGUGGCCCUCACGGUCCCAUGCCGGCGCUGUGUUCUAGACGGGUGCGGGGAGGAUGGGCACACAGCUGUAGAGUCGGCCCCGGAAGGAUCCUGGGAAGCACACGCUCCGAACAGAGUCCUGAAGAAGGAAAAGUGACUCACCCAAGGUCCCGCGGCUGGGUCGGCAUCUUCCAGCCCCUGGAAAGACCCCAGCCCAUCUUCGGUGCGCACGACCCGGCACCCUCGUGCCCACCUCGAGCGGCCAAGUGCAGAAGAGAGUUACGUGCCCGUGCCAUGGUCACCGGGCCAUCAGACUCUGCCCGAUUGGAACAGUGCCAGCUACACCACCGUGGUGGUAGUACCCAAACCCAGCACUCAGCGAGCCGCUCACGUGCCUCUGGCUACAGGCUGCAGAACUCUGGGGGGGGGGGGGGGGGGGGCCUGGGGGGGAGGGGGCGAGGUGGGGUGAGGAGGGGCAGAGAGGCUCUCCCUGCCUGACGGUCGCAGUGUUUUUCAGCCUCAGGAGCAAAUCGCCGAGUCAGUACUUUGGUCCUGGCCGAGCUCAGGAGAGCCCUUCCCAGAAGCCUUAGCCUUCUGGGUUUUGUUGGGGCACCACAUGGGGACGUUUUGCCGCCCCCCAGACCCAUCUCUGGUGGGUUUUUUUAUUUUUUGUCUUGUUGUAAGAUUUUAUUUGUUUCAGUAAUCUCUGCGCCCAACAUGGGGCCCGAACCCGCAACUCCAAGAUCAAGAGUCCCCUGCUGCGCUGACGGGAGACCCCCCCCGCCCCCCGCCCCGCCAGCUCUGUUGAUAGAAGUGGCCUUGGUGUCCAGGGAUUGGCAGCUCCCGAGGCCAAGAGCUGCCGUGAGCAGGGGACGAGGGCGGCGGGCCAGGCCAGGGAGAGAGUCGUCGGGCUCUGUGCUGAUGCCUCGGAGCCCGGGACCAGCUUCGGAUUCUGUGUCUCCCUCUCUCUCCGCCCCUCCCCUGCUCACGCUCCGUCUCUCUUUCCUUCAAAAAUAAAUGAACAUUAAAAAAAAAUAAAAAGAAAGUG